CCCUUAGAUGUUCUGGGCCGCACGCGCGCUACACUGACGAAGUCAGCGAGCAUGUCCUACGCCGACAGGUGCGGGGAAUCUUGUCAAACUUCGUCGUGAUGGGGAUUGAUUAUUGAAAUUCUUGAUCAUCAACGAGGAAUUCCUAGUAAGCGCAAGUCAGCAGCUUGCGUUGAUUACGUCCCCGCCCUUUGUACACACCGCCCGUCGCUACUACCGAUUGAAUGGUUUAGUGAGAUCUUCGGAUUGGCGCCACUGCGGCUCAGCAAUGGGCUCGGUGGAUGCCGAAAAGUUGAUCAAACUUGAUCAUUUAGAGGAAGUAAAAGUCGUAACA
RNAcentral lists this ribosomal RNA (331 nucleotides) under uncultured eukaryote. RNAcentral describes it as "partial 18S ribosomal RNA". It matches the Rfam family "Eukaryotic small subunit ribosomal RNA", at positions 1470 to 1796 of the family's 1831-position model. The record is from RNAcentral.